This 200-nucleotide ribosomal RNA is filed under the name uncultured bacterium. Its description in RNAcentral is "partial 16S ribosomal RNA". It matches the Rfam family "Bacterial small subunit ribosomal RNA", at positions 8 to 199 of the family's 1533-position model. The record is from RNAcentral.
AGAGUUUGAUCCUGGCUCAGAGUUAACGCUGGCAGCGUGCAUAACACAUGCAAGUCGAGCGGAACACUUGUUGUAGCAAUACAGUAGGUGUUUAGCGGCAAACGAGUGAGUAACACGUAUGAAAUCUACCCCGAAGUGGGGGGCAACUGGCUGAAAAGUCAGCUAAUACCCCAUAUAAUCCUCUAAUGGCAUCGUUUAGG